RNAcentral lists this long non-coding RNA (1297 nucleotides) under Homo sapiens (human). RNAcentral's name for it is "long intergenic non-protein coding RNA 963". The record is from RNAcentral. Lineage: Eukaryota; Metazoa; Chordata; Mammalia; Primates; Hominidae.
GCUUUCAACUCUCUGAACUUCGGUUCCUCAUCUGCCAGUUGGCAGACGCUCAGCAAAUCUUCCUAGACUCACGGGGCGAAUUGUACAGUUGGGUAAAUCGAGGCCCAGAGAUGGCAAAAGGACCGUCCAAGGUCGUACAGCCACCCGGAAUUACAAUUCUUUUCUGCCGGGUCACACGCUGUCAUCCACGUGUUACCUAAGAGAGCUUUCCAGCCUGUGCUAAGAAAACUGCCCCACAUCAUCUGCAGUAGGACGGGGGAGUUGGAGCCCUGGUCAGGCCACUCUGCUACUGACCACAGUUUUCUCAUCUCUAAAAAGGCGCAGUAACAAUAUAAUUACCGUAUGCAGUCCCCCAGGAUACAGGGUCAAAGGAGAGCACAACCAUCGCAGUUGGAAGCCCAUGGGGCAGCCCAGUGCAGAUGCAUCUGACUUACGAAACUUCAGUGACACCUGCUCUGUGCCAGACACUGAAGAUGGAGCAGUGAACAGCACUGACCCAGCCUGUCCUCCUGUUGCCUGCAGGCCAGAAGCAAGGUCUCGCUGUGUUACCCUGGCUGGAGUGCAGUGGCUACUUACAGGCAUGAUCAUAGCAUACUGCAGCCUCGAACUCCUGGACUAGAGCAGUUCUCCUGCCUCAGCCUCCAGAGCAGCUGGGACUGCAGACACGCACCACAGAGCCCAGCCUGAGUCAUUUUGAUUCUGUAACUGGCUUCCUCUCGGCGGGCAGGCUCACACCCUCCACCCCCAGCUGGAGAUGGAAGGAGGAUGCUCACCGCCCAUUCCUCAUGCAGGCCAUCGAUGGAAAUGUCAGACAGUGCGAGUCCACGCCUGAACACUUCUGGGGUCCGCUCUGGGACUGACACUGGCAGAUCCAUCGUGGCACCCGAGCUCUGUGAGGGCAAGACUUUGUUCGGUUGUGGGCUAUGCCCCCAACCCCUCGGACAGUGCCUGCACAGGUGGACAUUUUUGUUGGAUGAAGGAUUUUCUGUUAAAUGUGUCUGGCACACACAGAAAAACAAAGCCCAGCAGAUGCCGUUCCAUUGUUUGCUGACUUUCAUUGAUUCUAUGAGAAGUCUGCAGUCUUUUGCAGCGUUGUUUUCCUAUGUAUAAUUGUCUCCUCCCACCCCACUCACCCCAGCUGCUUUCCACAUUCUCUCUCUUUGAUUUUCAGCAGUCUGCCCAUGAUGUGCCUAAAUAGGACUUUCUUUGCAUUCAUCUUGGCUGGGGCUCACUGAACUUUCUGAAUCUGUAGAUUAAUUUUCUUUUUUCAAUAAACCUUGGAAUAUUUUCAGCAUAA